GAGCGGAGAUGAGGUGCUUGCACCUUAUCUUAGCGGCGGACGGGUGAGUAAUGCUUAGGAAUCUGCCUAUUAGUGGGGGACAACAUUUCGAAAGGAAUGCUAAUACCGCAUACGCCCUACGGGGGAAAGCAGGGGAUCUUCGGACCUUGCGCUAAUAGAUGAGCCUAAGUCGGAUUAGCUAGUUGGUGGGGUAAAGGCCUACCAAGGCGACGAUCUGUAGCGGGUCUGAGAGGAUGAUCCGCCACACCGGGACUGAGACACGGCCCAGACUCCUACGGGAGGCAGCAGUGGGGAAUAUUGGACAAUGGGGGGAACCCUGAUCCAGCCAUGCCGCGUGUGUGAAGAAGGCCUUUUGGUUGUAAAGCACUUUAAGCGAGGAGGAGGCAGCUCUAGAUUAAUACUCUAGAUGCUUGGACGUUACUCGCAGAAUAAGCUCCGGCUAACUCUGUG
This 450-nucleotide ribosomal RNA is filed under the name uncultured bacterium. Its description in RNAcentral is "bacterial SSU rRNA". It matches the Rfam family "Bacterial small subunit ribosomal RNA", at positions 64 to 507 of the family's 1533-position model. The record is from RNAcentral.